AGAGCUCAAAUUUAAAAUCUGGCGUGCCUCUGGUCGUCCGAGUUGUAGUCUGGAGAAGCGUUUUCCGUGUUGGACCGUGUAUAAGUCUCUUGGAACAGGGCGUCAUAGAGGGUGAGAAUCCCGUCUUUGACACGGACUACCAAGGCUUUGUGGUGCACGCUCAACGAGUCGAGUUGUUUGGGAAUGCAGCUCUAAAUGGGUGGUAAAUUCCAUCUAAAGCUAAAUAUUGGCCAGAGACCGAUA
This 243-nucleotide ribosomal RNA is filed under the name Thelephoraceae sp. RNAcentral describes it as "partial large subunit ribosomal RNA". It matches the Rfam family "Eukaryotic large subunit ribosomal RNA", at positions 104 to 339 of the family's 3401-position model. Lineage: Eukaryota; Fungi; Basidiomycota; Agaricomycetes; Thelephorales; Thelephoraceae. The record is from RNAcentral.